Molecule: ribosomal RNA, 357 nt
Filed under: Bacillus sp. Expt1_P1_B12
Lineage: Bacteria; Bacillati; Bacillota; Bacilli; Caryophanales; Bacillaceae
Also listed under: 2 other names
Description: bacterial SSU rRNA
Rfam family: Bacterial small subunit ribosomal RNA
Source: RNAcentral
UGACAGGUGGUGCAUGGUUGUCGUCAGCUCGUGUCGUGAGAUGUUGGGUUAAGUCCCGCAACGAGCGCAACCCUUGAUCUUAGUUGCCAUCAUUAAGUUGGGCACUCUAAGGUGACUGCCGGUGACAAACCGGAGGAAGGUGGGGAUGACGUCAAAUCAUCAUGCCCCUUAUGACCUGGGCUACACACGUGCUACAAUGGACAGAACAAAGGGCUGCGAGACCGCAAGGUGUAGCCAAUCCCACAAAUCCGUUCUCAGUUCGGAUCGCAGGCUGCAACUCGCCUGCGUGAAGCUGGAAUCGCUAGUAAUCGCGGAUCAGCAUGCCGCGGUGAAUACGUUCCCGGGUCUUGUACACAC